ACGGAGCGCGGCGGCGACAAGAUUGAUGAUCAAAAGGCGCCAGGAAUUCAUUGGCGGACAAGGAUCCCAAGGGAAAUGAGUGAGAUGUUGCAACAAUGUCCAGUCAAUUCAUAUUCAACGAUUGAUGGGUGUAUGGAGAGU
Non-coding RNA from Caenorhabditis elegans, 141 nucleotides. Lineage: Eukaryota; Metazoa; Nematoda; Chromadorea; Rhabditida; Rhabditidae. The record is from Ensembl.